GGAGGAGGAGGAGGGGGUAGAAUCGAUGGUCGCUACACCGCGAGAUAGGCCCCAUGCCGCGCUCAUUAACCUGCUAGCAUUCAUUAACGAAAGGGCGCGAGAGCCACCCGGCGGCCCGGACCAAACAAAAAAAAAGAGGAAGAGGGGGAAGCAAAGAAUAAGUUUUCCGAUAUCGAAAAAGGUCAGUGUACGCUGCUUUCCAUUAGGAGGGAGGGAAAGUGCUGUGUGUUUGGAGGGUGGUGGAAGGUGAUGGUGAGGAGAAGAAACAAACGGAUGUCUGCUGCUCUCGUUCGAUGGCCACAGUCAUUUAAGGAGGUCUCAAAUACCAAUGUCAUUUAAGUUUAUUUUAAACUUUAGAACAAUCUUGAUAGUGUAACUAGUUUCGUCUUACGGCAUUGAAUAAUGUCACAGUCGUGGCCCUUUGCUCUCCCCGGGCCACAUCAGUCUCGCCUCCCUGAACUCGGCGUGUUUUGAUCGGUGCGACUCGGCGGCUGAAUGUGGACGCGAACGUGUUGGCCGCUCUGCUGCCAAUUGCGUCCAACCCACCAAUUCGGUUGCCUGUGGGUAUGAAGGGUCGGCCACUCAUGUCACUUUCGCAGACUUUUAUAAGAAAUCGCGGUGACCUAAACCUUAUUUGCUCUUUCUUUUAUUAGUGGUAAAAAAAUAUGUUCAUUGCAACUCAAAAGCCGAGAGGUUGGCCCUUCGUCACAGAGUAUUUUUUAAAUCAUAUGCUAACCUUUAGGUUGUAACCACCAGCAUGCCCCACUGAUUAAGUAUAAAUAAUGUUAAAGUCAAAUUUUAAUUUUUUAAUAAAAUUUAAAAUAGAAAUCUUUGAUAAACAACUAUCCUAGAAUGCGACAAUACACAUCGCUGACUUAACUGAUUUAUGAUGGUACAGAAAACAUGGUAAUGGCAUUUGAGUAAUGUGUGCCAAAAAAAAAAAAAGAACACAAAUGUUAAAUCGAAUAUGGAGUCAAUAUAUGAGAAAGUAAAUAUUCGUUAUGUAUGUAAAAGAUGUGUAAAUAUUGUAUAAUGUUUUGUAAAAAUGAAAUUAUUCUGUCAGAGGUUUAGAGGGGUGUUGGUGUUGAAAAUUGUAGAGACAAAUGUAAAUACUUAUUUUGUCAGUGUAAAGAGCUUCCAAUAACAAGUAAUGAUAAGAAGACGCAGAUCGGAUAACAGGAUGCUUCGUGAACGGAUGAAAAGUCACAAAUACAUUUUUGGAAACAUAAGUUUGUUCACAGAAUGUUACAAAAUAUCUUUGAUUGUUUUCCCCAAACAUAAUGAGGCAUGUUGGUUUAUUUUGAUUUCUGUCCUUAUUUAACAUUACACCAAUUACAUUUAAAUUACAUUAAAAUCUUUACCAUUGAUCUGAAAUUUCAUAGCGGUUUAAAGUCCUAAGUAGCUAUCCACAGUAGAGCUACGCACACGCACUUUCAUCCUGUUGGAAGCUCUACCGACAAAUCUCCAUUUUAGGAAAAACUUGAGCGCCUUUACCGCCAAGAUAUAGUUGUGAUCUACGUCCUGUCCUUAUAAAUAAAAUUUGAAUAAACUAUCUUUGUCGAUGAACUGAUGUUUUGCUACUGUAAAUAGCUAGAUAUUGUUUUCAUUAAAAAAAUAUGACAUAGAAA
Frankliniella occidentalis (western flower thrips) is the source of this 1628-nucleotide long non-coding RNA. RefSeq lists it as uncharacterized. The record is from RefSeq and is a predicted model, not a curated record. NCBI's taxonomy places the organism in Eukaryota, Metazoa, Arthropoda, Insecta, Thysanoptera, Thripidae. The transcript has 2 exons.